AUCUCAACUUUGUUUUGCCGCAUUAACCGAGGCUAAUUCGUGUGAAAGAUGCACUCGUUGGAGGUUCAAGUGGAUCGCGACCCAGAGACCCACAGAGAGGCAGACCUCAAAGCUAUGCAUUUAUGACACUCAUUUGGUUCUUGGCCGACAUGGCGAUCCACCGUGUGCUGGACUGGACCCGGAUCGGAGAACUAUAACUUUUGCAGAUUCGCACACAUCACGCACAACACACACUCAACACACACACACUGCUUGCGCUCUCUCGACAAAAAAUUAAUCAAAAAAAUGUAUUUUAUGAAAUAUACACGCGCGCGCGUAUUCCAAUUUUUCCGAUUUUGAUUUGUUAGUUUCAGUUUUUUG
Drosophila kikkawai is the source of this 360-nucleotide non-coding RNA. The record is from RefSeq and is a predicted model, not a curated record. NCBI's taxonomy places the organism in Eukaryota, Metazoa, Arthropoda, Insecta, Diptera, Drosophilidae.